GGAAGAAUUUGUCCCUUCCAGUUUUCCAUCACAUCUUCAUCUGCUGGAGGAAUGUCUGUGGUUUUGUCGGAUUCCUCAGAGUGAACAAAUCCUCAUAUUUCCUUCUAUGAAGGAAAGAUGACGGGAAAUGAAGCGAUCAACUCGAAUAGGCAAGUUGUCGUGUUUAAAAAGUCCAUGUUUUAUAUUUUUGAACUCUGCUUCAACAGUGGCUGAGCUUGCUGUGAGGCUGGUGCUUUUGAAGAGGGGGACCAUAACUCCUGUCCAAAGUGUCUCCUAGGUCAGUCUGGAUCUCAUCAAAAGGAUCCCCUUGAUGCAUUUCCU
Cyprinodon variegatus (sheepshead minnow) is the source of this 321-nucleotide long non-coding RNA. RefSeq lists it as uncharacterized. Lineage: Eukaryota; Metazoa; Chordata; Actinopteri; Cyprinodontiformes; Cyprinodontidae. The record is from RefSeq and is a predicted model, not a curated record. The transcript is spliced from 3 exons.